RNAcentral lists this ribosomal RNA (532 nucleotides) under Hemiphractus sp. CORBIDI 14023. RNAcentral's name for it is "partial large subunit ribosomal RNA". It matches the Rfam family "Bacterial large subunit ribosomal RNA", at positions 1817 to 2597 of the family's 2925-position model. The record is from RNAcentral. Lineage: Eukaryota; Metazoa; Chordata; Amphibia; Anura; Hemiphractidae.
CGCCUCUUGCAAACUAUAAGAGGUCUAGCCUGCCCAGUGACCCUGUUCAACGGCCGCGGUACCCUAACCGUGCGAAGGUAGCGUAAUCACUUGUCCUUUAAAUGAGGACUAGUAUGAACGGCACCACGAAGGUUAAACUGUCUCCCUUUUCUAAUCAGUGAAACUAAUCUCCCCGUGAAGAAGCGGGGAUAAGAUCAUAAGACGAGAAGACCCUAUGGAGCUUUAAAUAUUAACAACAACUGUACUAUUCUAUAGCACACUAUGAUUGUUAAUUUUAGGUUGGGGCGACCACGGAGCAAAAACUAACCUCCUUGUUGAAUUACCAAGCAAGAAACCACAAUUUUAAGCACCAUCAAACUGCCAUCCAUUGACCCAAUAUUUUGAUCAACGAACCAAGUUACCCUAGGGAUAACAGCGCCAUCCACUUCAAGAGUUCAUAUCGACAAGUGGGUUUACGACCUCGAUGUUGGAUCAGGGUACCCAAGUGGUGAAGCCGCUACUAAAGGUUCGUUUGUUCAACGAUUAAAACCCU